GCCGAACUGUACGUCCAUCAUUGUGUCAUCAUUGAAGUAUAUGCAUCCACUGCAGUGGUCAUAGGUGUUUAUCAUAAUUAAGGAUGAUGAUCUCCCAUUGUAUCUUUUGGAAAAAUUUAAAGCAUACUGUAACAGUGUAGUGAAGAUAUAUGUUCUAAUGGGUAUACACCGUAAAGUAUAUUAUGUAUGUAAGUGUAUGUUUACUUGAGCUGUGAAGAAAGCUCAAAAAGUGAAUUAUCCCAAAGUUGUCGGAUAUUACUUGAGCUGUGAAGAAAGCUCAAAAAGUGGAUUAUCCCAAAGUUGUCGGAUAUUACUUGAGCUGUGAAGAAAGCUCCAAAAGUGGAUUAUCCCAAAGUGGUCGGAUAUUACUUGAGCUGUGAAGAAAGUUCAAAAAGUGGAUUAUCCCAAAGUUGUCGGAUAUUACUUGAGCUGUGAAGAAAGCUCCAAAAGUGGAUUAUCCCAAAGUUGUCGGAUAUUACUUGAGCUGUGAAGAAAGCUCCAAAAGUGGAUUAUCCCAAAGUUGUCGGAUAUUACUUGAGCUGUGAAGAAAGCUCAAAAAGUGGAUUAUCCCAAAGUGGUCGGAUAUCACUUGAGCUGUGAAGAAAGCUCAAAAAGUGGAUUAUCCCAAAGCUUUCAGAUAUUACUUGAGCUGUAAAGAAAGCUCAAAAAGUGGAUUAUCCCAAAGCUUUCAGAUAUUACUUGAGCUGUGAAGAAAGCUCAAAAAGUGGAUUAUCCCAAAGCUUUCAGAUAUUACUUGAGCUGUAAAGAAAGCUCAAAAAGUGGAUUAUCCCAAAGCUUUCAGAUAUUACUUGAGCUGUGAAGAAAGCUCAAAAAGUGGAUUAUCCCAAAGCUUUCAGAUAUUACUUGAGCUGUGAAGAAAGCUCAAAAAGUGGAUUAUCCCGAAGCUUUCAGAUAUUACUUGAGCUGUGAAGAAAGCUCAAAAAGUGGAUUAUCCCAAGGUUGUCGGAUAUUACUUGAGCUGUGAAGAAAGCUCAAAAAGUGGAUUAUCCCAAAGCUUUCAGAUAUUACUUGAGCUGUGAAGAAAGCUCAAAAAGUGGAUUAUCCCGAAGCUAUCCGAUAUUACUUGAGCUGUGAAGAAAGCUCAAAAAGUGGAUUAUCCCAAAGUUGUCGGAUAUUACUUGAGCUGUGAAGAAAGCUCAAAAAGUGGAUUAUCCCAAAGUUGUCGGAUAUUACUUCAGCUGUGAAGAAAGCUCAAAAAGUGGAUUAUCCCAAAGUUGUCGGAUAUUACUUGAGCUGUGAAGAAAGCUCAAAAAGUGGAUUAUCCCAAAGUUGUUGGAUAUUACUUGAGCUGUGAAGAAAGCUCAAAAAGUGGAUUAUCCCAAAGUUGUCGGAUAUUACUUGAGCUGAGAAGAAAG
This is a long non-coding RNA of Branchiostoma floridae (Florida lancelet), 1376 nucleotides long. RefSeq lists it as uncharacterized. NCBI's taxonomy places the organism in Eukaryota, Metazoa, Chordata, Leptocardii, Amphioxiformes, Branchiostomatidae. The record is from RefSeq and is a predicted model, not a curated record. The transcript is spliced from 2 exons.